CAUAAUCAACGAGAGUGUCAACCUGCCGCGAAGGUCUAUGAGUGGUCUGUUGCUCCUCUUUGUGGAGC
Molecule: non-coding RNA, 68 nt
Organism: Nematostella vectensis (starlet sea anemone)
Lineage: Eukaryota; Metazoa; Cnidaria; Anthozoa; Actiniaria; Edwardsiidae
Source: Rfam